Pelobates cultripes (western spadefoot toad) is the source of this 148-nucleotide non-coding RNA. The record is from the annotation of a GenBank genome assembly. NCBI's taxonomy places the organism in Eukaryota, Metazoa, Chordata, Amphibia, Anura, Pelobatidae.
ACACAUUCCAGCCAAUCAGCAGCAGACCCUCCCUCCCAGACCCUCCCACCUCCUGGACAGCUCACUAAGAAUGCAGCUUCAAAAUGGAUGCUGUCCAGGAGGUGGGAGGGUCUGGGAGGGAGGGUCUGCUGCUGAUUUGCUGGAAUGU